Molecule: non-coding RNA, 4226 nt
Organism: Chiloscyllium plagiosum (whitespotted bambooshark)
Lineage: Eukaryota; Metazoa; Chordata; Chondrichthyes; Orectolobiformes; Hemiscylliidae
Source: RefSeq, a predicted model, not a curated record
CAACACCGACAACAACACCGACAACCAAAGCAACAACAAUAGGCAGUGGAAACAAAUGUGCUGUGAUCAACUGCGCUGGAGAUGACUGCUACAAAAACCAAAAUCAGGGAGAUAUGUACUGUCCUAUUGGCAAGGAUUACUGCAAGCUGGAAAAGAAUACAGCAACCAACACAUGGACAAGUAGCUGUGAUGACUCUUGCAACAGUGUGUCCUCUGGCUGUUCAGGUAGCAGUUCAACAACCUGUGUCCAGGAGUGCUGCACAGCCACCACAGAUUCCUGUCUCAAAUUAGAUGGAGAAGAAAAUUUGAUUGGAUCUGCAAGUAUGACAGAGUCUAUGAAGAUAAUGGUUUAUACUAUUGCCGUGUUUAUUUUGACUAUUCACUUUGCACCCUUUAGUUUUUAAACGCAGGAGCCAAGAAUUCACACCAGACUUUGAAUGUUCAGUUCUGUCAAUUUACAUUCCGACAUCAGCGUAGAACUGCAUAAGCCUUUUUAUGUCAGUAUUUCAAUCUGGGGAGAUCUUUUACCCUUAAUGAAGCUGAAGCAAUUGUUAAUUUUACAUCCACCAACUGAGUCUCAGAAUAGGAGGUGGCUUAAAGGGAUGCUGAAAUGGGGAAAUAGCUCUCUCUCUUCCUCUCUGGGCAUCAUCACUCAUAGGAACAAUUCUUUCAAAUACUGAAAAAAGGUAGAAAUUUAUCUGUAGUUGAAGAAUCAAAAUGCAGAAGUGUCCUUACAUAUCUAACUGCUGUAGACACCAUAAAUCUGAGGUAGAAUUUUACCUCAGUGAGGGGUAAAGCCGCAAAUUAUGGAGGAUGGAUAUUUAUCUUCAAUAGAUGCAUUGUCUUAAAAGGAAGUAUAUGGAAAAUGAUCAACACGUCCAUUCCGGCAGUGUGGAAAAAUUAAGCCAUUUUUUCCAGUGUUUAAGUCCAUUCAAACAAACAAUAAUGCCUUGGACUUCUCAACUUGCAACAUAGAAUGACUGGGAAAAUGGGCACUGUCUUCUUGCCAAUCCGAAAUAGACAUAAAUCAAACAUAGGCCAAAUCUAUGAGAGAAAUCAGUGUUUUUAACAUUGAAAUUAAUAUCAAUAGCUUGAAAUCUUAAAUGCAAACUGCAUUUGGUGUGAUAUGAAAUUCAUUCCCUCUUAAAUUCUCAUCUCCACAGCUCUGCAUCAGAGAAUACUUGAUAAACUGUACAGAAAAGGCUUAUGCAGUGAUUAUACCAAUUCCAAAUAGACAUAAAUCAUUGUAAUGUAAAGUGAUACAUCUCGUUAAAAGGUCUGUUCAGUGCUGUGAGUUUGCAGUGUUGAAAUCUUUGUAGGUUAUUGUAAAUAACAACAAUCUUUAUGAUUAAACAUGUUGCUCAUAUAGUAGGAAAAAGUCUUCUAGGCCUUACCUUUUAUUAUUUAAUACAGGAAGGGGCAGGAAAUAUAAAAUUGCAAUGUGACUACAUUGUCCUCUGAGGGUCCUUGCUUUGCUAUUUAGUGCACAGGCAUCUAGAUUCUGAAAGCUGAUAUUUUUGGUCUAGCAGAAGUGAUUCAAAUGGUCCUUCUGAGGUGGAUGCAAUUCUUUUUGCUAUAAGGUGACUAACAACCAGGAUGCUGUUGGCAACUGUGGCUCAGUGGGAAUCACUCUUUCAUUUGAAGGAAAAAGAUUGCGGGUCAAAAUCUCAUUCCACAAAGAUCUAGGUGGACACUUCCAGUGCUGCACUUGCCAUCUGAUUACAGACUUCUACUCUAUUAGUGGGAUAUAAAAGAUCACUGAGGAAGAGCAAGGGAAUUCUCCCUGAUCUCUCAGCCAAUAUUUAACCUUUGACAAAUAACAUUAAAAACAAAGUACCUGGUGACUGUCACUUUUCUGUUUUUGAGGGCUUACUAUCUACAAAUUAGACACCACAGUUCUGACAAUAGUGAUAUCACUUCAAAAGGACUUUUCAUUAGCUAUGGAGUACUUCAGGAUCUUUUGUGGUUAUAAAAGGCACUACAUCAUUGCAAGUCUUUACCAUCUGAGCUCAAGCAAAAAAAAGUAACGUGAAUGAAAGUUUUACUGGAAUAAAUAGUAGGGUUAAUGUUUUUCUUUAAAAAUGUGCUAGAAAUACAUCGAAGUUAUUAAAUGGAAGCAUGUCAUUCAAUCCAUCUAUUCGGCGUCAGCAUUGACCCAACAUACCUCUGAGUAAAUAAUCUUAAAUAGAAUUACCUACUUCUUCUCACACCCCUGCAAUAACUUGUCCAUCAUCAAUCUAUCCAAUCAAUUUCUUUCUGUCUGUUUGUUUCUAUAUCAAUUAAUUACCUGCGCUUAUGAAUUCCACAGAAAACACAGGAGAUGUUACCAUGUAGUUAUAUCAGCAUCAGAAGCCCUUAUAGCUUUAGUUAGCCUUUAGUUAGUCCACAAAAGAAAGCAAUCUAUUAAUUAAAAAAAAACAAAAAAAACAAAUUACAAUCCACUUCUAUCCUAAUUUUACAUCAGGAAUGCCUUUCUCAGUUCAAAUGUUUCCCAAGAUCAUUGCCAGAAUGAUUUGGUCAGUGCAGCUUUUUUGAUUACUGUCCUCAUCCUUCAAGGUUUCUGCUUCUACCUGGCAUUGCCUUUGACAUUCAAUCUGUGCAGACUCACUCCUGGACAGACCUUUUAAGAAAUGCCUGAGCAAAGUUGAAUGUAUUUUUGAAUGGUUGUAGCUGUGUCCCAUCUACAGCCAGCCCUGUCAUUACAGAGCACCGUUGCGAAUUUGAAUUCUGGCAUGGUCUGGUCACCCUGCUUCUAUAUGAAUAUGCAGUUUAAACCUAUGUCUUGUGAUGUUCGCUUCAAGCAUAAAAUAUUUGUUUGACUGGACUUUAAUAAAAUUAAAACAAAAUUAUAUUUGUAUAAUGUUAGAGUAAUGUAUGUAAUAUGAAUAAAGAGUCUAAGAUGGGUUAUAUUUCCCUUUUAAUGAAAACAGAGAGUCGGUCUUUCUCCAGAAUCAAUCAUAUUCUAUUCCCAGAAACUUAAUGUUUUUGCGAUUUUGUUUGUGGUUGUUAAUUAAGAGGAACUACAGACAUUCUCCUAUUAUUGUUAAGAGGGGAUAACACCAGGUGUAGAGGAUUAACUGAAAGCUGCAGGAGGUAUUGCUAUCAGCGUUGCAAGCAUUCAACCAUUUUAUUGUUUCCAUUGUGAGAGGCUCAGCACCAAGUAAGUAUAUUUAAAAAUGGGUGUGCAUUCUUUUUGAAAAGUGUUGAUCUCAUCCUCCCCUUCCUUGAUGGUUAUUCUCAUAAAGUCUUCUCACUCAGAGCUGGCCUACUCUGUGACUCAGAUCUUACCAAGAUGGUGCCCACAGUAUAGAAAUCAAUCUUGCUUCAGUUGGGUGUACUGGUAUAUUCCAUUUUAGUCAGAGCUAAUGGAUUACCAUAUCUAAUUAAAGUUUGAUUUAACCUACUACUGAAAAAUUAGUUAGCCCUCCUGAUUUUUGUGAUGACAGUCAUUGUGCGAUAGAAUGAAACCUACUAAUAUCCUAGCUUAAAAUUUGAAAAUUAUUGAUCUAAUGAAACAAUCAGAAAACUGAUUCAUUUCAAGUAUUUUUCUUUUUGGAUAGAGAGCAUUUUGAGGUACAUGGCCAGAAAUGAUGCUAGACAGUUUCUCAGUCUCUAGUAAAUCUGUUCAUUUUCUGAUCAUGGUAAUAAUGAUUCCCAGGCUAAAGUUGUUCAACUUCACAUCACUUUAUCACAUGUGUCACUAUAACAGCACAACAUGACUCGCGUACCAUUAGGGAGAAGAAGUUGAGGACAUUUUGAAUGCAGGGAAAUGCGGUGACAACUAAAUUCAGUACUUAUUGGGUGUGUUUUUUCAAAGGCCUCCUGUCAUUUGAAUUUUGACGUUAAUACAGGAAAAGAAAUUCACAAUAUCCAUAGGGCAUUAAAGUGGCUAAUACUCCUCUUAAUAGUUUAUUACAGGGUAUUUUUUAAUUAGCUUCUAAUGAAAUCACAGUUGAACAUUGCUUUACUUACUCUGGUUGCACUUGUUUAACUGUGUUAUUGUUAGGAUUAUAUCAUUCUAUUCUGUUUCAGAUAAUGACUAUCAGAUGUGCGACUUUGUGUGGCAUCUAUGUAUUAUCAAACAAGCUUUAAUAAAGUUAUAUUCAAACACAAAUGCUCAGCUGUUUAACUUAACUGCAUUGAAAUUACAGCAGAAUUUGUAAAAUAUUUCCUUAUUCAAAGAAACAAAACGCAUUUAUUUUGGGAAGUUAUAUGUAUUCAUUUUC